Molecule: microRNA, 22 nt
Filed under: Lottia gigantea (owl limpet)
Lineage: Eukaryota; Metazoa; Mollusca; Gastropoda; Lottiidae
Description: Lgi-Mir-210_3p (mature (guide))
Source: RNAcentral
UUGUGCGUGGGACAGCGAUCGA